RNAcentral lists this long non-coding RNA (202 nucleotides) under Drosophila guanche. The record is from RNAcentral. Lineage: Eukaryota; Metazoa; Arthropoda; Insecta; Diptera; Drosophilidae.
CUCUUUUUUAAAUACUUAUUAGUAUUGAUUUUUAUAUCAUUUUGCUGGGUUUUUAGAAUUUUAGAAACUUCCCUGCCAUUUCUUAGGUUCUGGGUCUGGGUCUGGGUCUCCUGUUUUGCUGUGGGCAGCCAAGUUUCUUUUAUGUGCCUCUACUGUUGCUGCUGCUGCUGAUGUGGCUGACUAGCUGUCUGGCUGUCGUUGG